AUGCACGCUGGCGGCGUGCCUAAUACCUGCAAGUCGAGCGAACAGAUAAGGAGCUUGCUCCUUUGACGUUAGCGGCGGACGGGUGAGUAACACGUGGGUAACCUACCUAUAAGACUGGGAUAACUUCGGGAAACCGGAGCUAAUACCGGAUAACAUUUGGAACCGCAUGGUUCUAAAGUGAAAGAUGGUUUUGCUAUCACUUAUAGAUGGACCCGCGCCGUAUUAGCUAGUUGGUAAGGUAACGGCCUACCAAGGCGACGAUACGUAGCCGACCUGAGAGGGUGAUCGGCCACACUGGAACUGAGACACGGUCCAGACUCCUACGGGAGGCAGCAGUAGGGAAUCUUCCGCAAUGGGCGAAAGCCUGACGGAGCAACGCCGCGUGAGUGAUGAAGGGUUUCGGCUCGUAAAACUCUGUUAUUAGGGAAGAACAAAUGUGUAAGUAACUGUGCACGUCUUGACGGUACCUAAUCAGAAAGCCACGGCUAACUACGU
This 495-nucleotide ribosomal RNA is filed under the name uncultured bacterium. RNAcentral's name for it is "partial 16S ribosomal RNA". It matches the Rfam family "Bacterial small subunit ribosomal RNA", at positions 29 to 506 of the family's 1533-position model. The record is from RNAcentral.